RNAcentral lists this ribosomal RNA (253 nucleotides) under uncultured bacterium. Its description in RNAcentral is "partial 16S ribosomal RNA". It matches the Rfam family "Bacterial small subunit ribosomal RNA", at positions 524 to 776 of the family's 1533-position model. The record is from RNAcentral.
UACGAAGGGGGCUAGCGUUGCUCGGAAUCACUGGGCGUAAAGGGUGCGUAGGCGGGUUAUUAAGUCAGAGGUGAAAUCCUGGAGCUCAACUCCAGAACUGCCUUUGAUACUGAUAGUCUUGAGUAUGGGAGAGGUGAGUGGAGCUGCGAGUGUAGAGGUGAAAUUCGUAGAUAUUCGCAAGAACACCAGUGGCGAAGGCGGCUCACUGGCCCAUAACUGACGCUGAGGCACGAAAGCGUGGGGAGCAAACAGG